Molecule: long non-coding RNA, 569 nt
Filed under: Triticum aestivum (bread wheat)
Lineage: Eukaryota; Viridiplantae; Streptophyta; Magnoliopsida; Poales; Poaceae
Description: long non-coding RNA (TAES_LNC024566)
Source: RNAcentral
GCUAUGUUGGCGUCUUGGAGUAACCACACGGAUCCACCACAAAUGGGACCCCCACCACCACCUGCGGGAGAACCCCCACACGUGCCCACGUUCGAUGAAUGGGUGGCACUAGGCAGCGAUAGUCCGGUUAGUACAUUUGCCUAACUACCGACAAACUAGUUCUCGUUCAUUCAACACUAUCAUAUCAUAUUUACCAUUAGAAUCUUCUCUCAAACAUGUAGGGGACCGGUGGCUCGACUCCUGCUCCGUCGACCCCAGUCACUCUGAUUUGGCAGAGUGAUGGUGGUCGCGGUGGUGGUUUUGGCGGAGGUGGUCUUCGCGGUGGUGGUUUUGGCGGAGGUGGUCUUGGCGGUAGUGGUUUUGGCGGAGGUGGUCUUGGCGGUGGUGGUUUUGGUGGCGGCGGUCUUUCUUGAUGUCGAUGAUGAUACCCGUGCAUGUGGCCAUCGUGCCAUACCUUUCAUGUUCCAUGUCUUGCACUAUUUAUGUUCAUGAACUUUCACCGGUGAUGAUCUUUAGAUGAUGGACUUGAGUAUGUUUAAAUGAUGAUGAUGAACUUGAGUAUGUUUAGA